UACGUAGGUGGCAAGCGUUGUCCGGAAUUAUUGGGCGUAAAGCGCGCGCAGGCGGCCCUUUAAGUCUGAUGUGAAAGCCCACGGCUCAACCGUGGAGGGUCAUUGGAAACUGGGGGACUUGAGUGCAGAAGAGGAGAGUGGAAUUCCACGUGUAGCGGUGAAAUGCGUAGAGAUGUGGAGGAACACCAGUGGCGAAGGCGACUCUCUGGUCUGUAACUGACGCUGAGGCGCGAAAGCGUGGGGAGCAAACAGG
RNAcentral lists this ribosomal RNA (253 nucleotides) under uncultured bacterium. RNAcentral's name for it is "partial 16S ribosomal RNA". It matches the Rfam family "Bacterial small subunit ribosomal RNA", at positions 524 to 776 of the family's 1533-position model. The record is from RNAcentral.